Molecule: ribosomal RNA, 380 nt
Filed under: uncultured eukaryote
Lineage: Eukaryota
Description: bacterial SSU rRNA
Rfam family: Eukaryotic small subunit ribosomal RNA
Source: RNAcentral
CUGGUUGCCCCUAAACAGUAGUCAUAUGCUUGUCUCAAAGAUUAAGCCAUGCAUGUCUAAGUACAUGCCGUAUUAAGGCGAAACCGCGAAUGGCUCAUUAAAUCAGUUACGGUUCCUUAGAUGUUGACUGUCUACAUGGAUAACUGUGGUAAUUCUAGAGCUAAUACAUGCACAAAAGCUUUGACCUUACCGGGAAAAGCGCAUUUAUUAGAACAAGACCAAUGGGGCCGCCGGCAACGGCGGCUCCUUCCAGUGGUGACUCUGAAUAACUUUCGCUAAUCGCAUGGCCUACGUGCCGGCGAUGAAUCUUUCAAGUGUCUGCCUUAUCAACUGUCGAUGGUAGGUUAUGCGCCUACCAUGGUUGUAACGGGUAACGGGGA